Molecule: ribosomal RNA, 620 nt
Filed under: uncultured bacterium
Lineage: Bacteria
Description: bacterial SSU rRNA
Rfam family: Bacterial small subunit ribosomal RNA (bases 1-540)
Source: RNAcentral
CCUACGGGAGGCAGCAGUGGGGAAUUUUGGACAAUGGGCGCAAGCCUGAUCCAGCAAUGCCGCGUGUGUGAUGAAGGCCUUCGGGUUGUAAAGCACUUUUAGUGGGAACGAAACGGUCCGGGCUAAUACCCUGGACUACUGACGGUACCCGCAGAAUAAGCACCGGCUAACUACGUGCCAGCAGCCGCGGUAAUACGUAGGGUGCAAGCGUUAAUCGGAAUUACUGGGCGUAAAGCGUGCGCAGGCGGUUUUGUAAGACCGAUGUGAAAUCCCCGGGCUUAACCUGGGAACUGCAUUGGUGACUGCAAGGCUUGAGUGUGUCAGAGGGAGGUGGAAUUCCGCGUGUAGCAGUGAAAUGCGUAGAUAUGCGGAGGAACACCGAUGGCGAAGGCAGCCUCCUGGGAUAACACUGACGCUCAUGCACGAAAGCGUGGGGAGCAAACAGGAUUAGAUACCCUGGUAGUCCACGCCCUAAACGAUGUCUACUAGUUGUCGGGGAUUAAUUUCCUUGGUAACGCAGCUACGACGGAGUAGACCGCCGUGGAGGUACGGUCGCGAGAUAACUACGAAGAAGUAGACGGCGUGAGACGUGCCGACGGACGACGACGAGGGAGGUUAGG